GUACUGUGCGAACGUUAUUCGGAAUCACUGGGCUUAAAGGGUGCGUAGGCGGCGAGGGCAAGUAGGAUGUGAAAUCUUCCGGGCUCAACCGGAAAACUGCGUUCUAAACUGCCUGGCUUGAGUGAGAUAGGGGUGUGCGGAACUUCCAGUGGAGCGGUGAAAUGUGUUGAUAUUGGAAGGAACGCCGUUGGCGAAAGCGGCACACUGGGUCUCAACUGACGCUGAGGCACGAAAGCCAGGGUAGCGAACGGGAUUAGAUACCCCGGUAGUCCUGGCUGUAAACGUUGAGCACUAGUCGGGAGGGGCUUCGGCCCAUCCGGACGCAGCGAAAGCGAUAAGUGCUCCGCCUGGGGAGUAUGGUCGCAAAGGCUG
Molecule: ribosomal RNA, 372 nt
Filed under: uncultured organism
Description: partial 16S ribosomal RNA
Rfam family: Bacterial small subunit ribosomal RNA
Source: RNAcentral